This 2401-nucleotide long non-coding RNA is filed under the name Nicotiana benthamiana. RNAcentral describes it as "long non-coding RNA (NBEN_LNC020342)". The record is from RNAcentral. Lineage: Eukaryota; Viridiplantae; Streptophyta; Magnoliopsida; Solanales; Solanaceae.
CUGAACAAUAUAGACACCUUCAAUUAGUUACUCUUCAAUUUCACUGUUAAGCUUUUAUAUAGUGGGAUCGGCUAUAUAAAUCAUAUGUACGAUCCAUUCUACUUUAUUAAGGCGAAUUCGGAAUACCUUAGACUAGGCAUUCUCUACAUCUCACACUUAUAUGUAGGUACAAAUCUAAUGGUGCACGAGUAAUUUAUAUAGGAGUGAGUCGUGACAAGUUUACUUACCAUUCUUGGUGCUCCGUCAAUUUCAGCAACUUCCAUCCCUGUGACAAUCAUUCCAGGUACAACCUCUCUUGUAAGUCUAACAAUAGCAUCCUCAGCGGCGUUCAUGUCCAAAGCUUUCAUCCCAGGAACAUGAUUGAUCAUGCCAAUGCUCUUAAGCCUCUUAACACCAGUGGCACCCAUGGGACCGUCGUGGCCACAAGAGCUGACCACAAUCUUAGCCUCCAUAACAUUGGGGUCCAUGCAGGAUUGUGUGUCGUGGUUCUGAGAAACCAAAGACCAGUUAGUGACAACACCACCAACUCUUCCGUUCUUCACAAUAAGGUCCUCUGUUGCAACAGCAUUGAAGAGUUUCACGUUUGGCCUAGAUUGUGUGUCAUGGUUCUGAGAAACCAAAGACCAGUUCGUGACAACACCACCAACUCUUCCGUUCUUCACAAUAAGGUCCUCUGUUGCAACAGCAUUGAAGAGUUUCACGUUUGGCCUGGCCAAAAGCUUGCUCAUGAUGGUUGAGGUGAACAAGGCAGCGUGCUUGAUGACCACGUAGUUGUCUUGCUCGUCAUAGUCUAUGCCUAGCUCGUUCAAGAAAAGAUGUGCUGGCUUCCUCACAACCAUGGCUGAAAAGAGUUGUCCUCCUAGCCAGGCACCUCCACCAGGGCUAACUGAUUGCUCCUUGAUGACCACGUAGUUAUCUUGCUCGUCAUAGUCUAUGCCUAGCUCGUUCAAGAAGAGAUGUGCUGGCUUCCUCACAACCAUGGCUGAGAAGAGUUGUCCACCUAGCCAGGCACCUCCACCAGGGCUCACUGAUUGCUCAAGUAUGGCCACCUACACAAACCAAGUAAAUUCACAUAAACAACUGAUAAUAAGUACAAAUUGGGAACAUAGGUAUUGUAAUCAGCAACUAUAAUCUAAUCAAGAACAAGAUUAGCAGUUAGAACAUCAAUUGACUUCCCUGUGAUCAUGAAUGCGUAUACCAGCCAGAGGCAGAUCUAGGAUAAUUUAGGUUUGUUCAAUUAAAUUCAUUGCUAUAUAUAUAUAUACACACAAACGAUAACGGGGGAGUCUCAAGCUAAAACCUGGCAGCUUUUGCUCAACCAGUUUUGAUGCUUAAAAUACUACAAAUAUUAAAUUUAGAAAUCAAUCCCUAACAUUUGAAGUCAUGUACUAAGAUCCAGAAUGCAUAAGUUUGAAAUUCUGGUUCCGACUGCAAACCAAUUUUGGACUUAUUAACUCCAAAUCCUAAAUUCAGGAUAAUACUAUCUCAAAAGCAGUUUCACUGGUUCACAAGUGUAUUAACAGCUUUCGCUAAUAAAUAUGUCAUAUUUCUCUUGAUCACACUCGCUCAAGUUGCACAAGGUCUAAGCAAAAAGGUGUCACAUGAUUUGUAUAUACGAGUAAACCUUCAAGUACCUUUAAUAAGAAGCCCGUGUUUUUUUUCCCUCUCAGCUGCCAAGUCUUAUAUGAAUUUUCUUUUAUACUUUUCAGUUCAGUAGAAAUACAAGCGAAGUCAAAAAACCAAAUUCCAAAAUUUCCAUCUUUCCGCUAUUAGAAUUUAAAUGAAAAUAUCCGUUAGGCACACGUAAACAGGUGCCAAUUCUUCCACGCGAAAAAAGCCUGAGUAUUUAAAUGAAAAACUAAUCAAAAAACUGAAUUGAGGCUAAAUGGUUAUGUGAGUCUUUACAAACUUAUUUUUAGAUUUAUGAUCAUAUCUCUUUUGUUUUUUUCUUUAAGAAAAGAAACAGGAGAUUUAUUUUUACAGAUCUAUUUUCAGAUAUAAGAGAUAUGACACUAUAUUAAUUUCAUAUUGUAAAUGGUUAUUGAGUUAUGACGCAUAAAAGGUCCAAAAAGAUAUUUUCUUAAUUUUAAAAUUAUAAAAAAGCAUGAUGUACAGGUAGCCUCAUUUCCUUCGCUGAUUUGAGCCAUAUGCACUCUGUUAGUCUUUAGACUCACAUAACCAUUUAAACUCAUAAAGUAUUUUAAAAUUAAUUGACAAAGUAAACACAAGCCAAUAUAUGGUCUUUCGUGACUUUUGUCUUUUUCUAUCACAAUACUUCCAGACACAUAUAUUACAUCCUGCAGCAGGCCUAGAUUUAUCUCAUGUUAAUAUCAACUUAAAUUUCGGUAUUAAUGUGCAAAAAAGAAAAAAGAAAGAGCCAAAAUGAAAAUAAAAGGAUACC